AGUAGGGAAGAAAUCUCAGGAUGUUGCAAAAGCAAAGGCUUUCCAUGGGUCCGUUGCUAAUACUCCUAGAGUGGCCAAAAAAUUCCAACGUGCUGUGAAGAAGCAAAAGUCUGUCCGUGGAUCUGAUGCUGACGCUAAUGGAGUGGGGAACACAUCACAGGAUGUCACGAAGCCAAAGGGUACCCAUGGGUCAUCUGCUGAUGCUCAGGGAGUGGAACAUCUUGCAGUGGGAGACUUUGUGCAGGUGUCGGUUGAAGUAAAGGGAAAGACAACAAGGGAGGAGCUGUUUGUAGCCAAGGUAUGUGUUGCCUCUUUUUUUUUUUAGAAUCUUGUUUUUGUGAUG
Patiria miniata (bat star) is the source of this 343-nucleotide long non-coding RNA. RefSeq lists it as uncharacterized. Lineage: Eukaryota; Metazoa; Echinodermata; Asteroidea; Valvatida; Asterinidae. The record is from RefSeq and is a predicted model, not a curated record. The transcript has 4 exons.